CAGGACUGUCCUCCUUCGCCUUAUUCCAGAAGCCCAUAAUGCUUUGCGACAAAGGUGACUUCCGGUUUAUUUCCGCAUUCAAUUUCCUAGUUAUCGAUACGAGUGAAAGGAAGAGCAUAAUUGGCAAAAUAGAUAGAUAGAGUUGUCCAUUCUGGAUGUUUGAUUCCGCCAAGUCGAUGCUCAACAGGAGUAGGCAGUUGAUACCAUUGAUCUGAUAGCACCUGCUAUAUCAAUGGUUUUACAAGAAAAAAUUGUGCAAAACACAAGAGACGGAAUCGGUUCAAGAACAGAGAUAAAAUAAAUGAAGUGUGUCAAUAUGAAUGAAAACUUUCCUUGACUGCAAGGACUAAAGAAAUGCACACAAGUGACAUAAAUUUAAAUGUUUGGUACAAAAAGUAGACAUUUAGAACUUAAAAUUAUGACACAGGAUGUGAAACAACACUUUAUAGCCGAUAACAGUCGAACAAGAGAUUUUUCAAAAAGAAGCAAGAUGUGGUUUUUUAACCCUUGGCAAAUGAACCUUUAAAGGGAUUAUUGCAUACCAAGGACAAUUUAUUGUUAUUGAAUUAUAUCAUGUUUAAUGUUAUUAUUAAAUUAUAAAAAAUAC
Long non-coding RNA from Mya arenaria, 607 nucleotides. RefSeq lists it as uncharacterized. The record is from RefSeq and is a predicted model, not a curated record. Lineage: Eukaryota; Metazoa; Mollusca; Bivalvia; Myida; Myidae. The transcript has 2 exons.